UAGAUGAAAGCCUUUACUCCCGCCAG
This 26-nucleotide non-coding RNA is filed under the name Mus musculus (house mouse). Lineage: Eukaryota; Metazoa; Chordata; Mammalia; Rodentia; Muridae. The record is from RNAcentral.